Molecule: ribosomal RNA, 253 nt
Filed under: uncultured prokaryote
Description: partial 16S ribosomal RNA
Rfam family: Bacterial small subunit ribosomal RNA
Source: RNAcentral
ACGUAGGCAGCGAGCGUUGUUCGGAAUUACUGGGCGUAAAGAGUGUGUAGGCGGUGCUCCCAGUCUGUUGUGAAAUCUCCCGGCUUAACUGGGAGGGUGCAGCGGAAACUAGAGUGCUAGAGGGUGGGAGAGGUAAGCGGAAUUCCUGGUGUAGCGGUGAAAUGCGUAGAUAUCGAGAGGAACACCGGUGGCGAAAGCGCACGUCUGGCCCGAUACUGACGCUGAUGCGCGAAAGCUAGGGGAGCAAACGGGA